This 411-nucleotide ribosomal RNA is filed under the name uncultured soil bacterium. RNAcentral's name for it is "bacterial SSU rRNA". It matches the Rfam family "Bacterial small subunit ribosomal RNA", at positions 26 to 477 of the family's 1533-position model. The record is from RNAcentral.
AGAACGAACGCUGGCGGCAUGCCUAAUACAUGCAAGUCGAACGAACUCUUCGGAGUUAGUGGCGCACGGGUGCGUAACGCGUGGGAAUCUGCCCUUGGGUUCGGAAUAACAGUUGGAAACGACUGCUAAUACCGGAUGAUGACGAAAGUCCAAAGAUUUAUCGCCCAGGGAUGAGCCCGCGUAGGAUUAGCUAGUUGGUGAGGUAAAGGCUCACCAAGGCGACGAUCCUUAGCUGGUCUGAGAGGAUGAUCAGCCACACUGGGACUGAGACACGGCCCAGACUCCUACGGGAGGCAGCAGUAGGGAAUAUUGGACAAGUGGGCGAAAGCCUGAUCCAGCAAUGACCGCGUGAGUGAUGAAGGCCGUUAGGGUUGUAAAGCUACUUUUACCCGAGAUGAAUAAGUGACAGUA